This 87-nucleotide transfer RNA is filed under the name Massilioclostridium sp. Its description in RNAcentral is "tRNA-Leu". It matches the Rfam family "tRNA". Rfam says of the family: Transfer RNA (tRNA) molecules are approximately 80 nucleotides in length. Their secondary structure includes four short double-helical elements and three loops (D, anti-codon, and T loops). The record is from RNAcentral. Lineage: Bacteria; Bacillati; Bacillota; Clostridia; Eubacteriales; Clostridiaceae.
GCCGGAAUGAUGGAAUUGGCAGACGUGCUGGACUCAAAAUCCAGUCUUGGCAACAAGGUGCGGGUUCAAAUCCCGCUUCCGGCACCA